GAUAAACUGUAACUUGAGCAAAAGUCUGGAGGUGUUUACAAGGCGUGAAGUUUGAUGUAGUGAUUGGAGAACUACUGCCUUGUGUUAAGUCAUGUGCUUGGUAGGAGGUGGGAUCCCAGCGAGACCGCCCCAAGGUGGGGUGACAGUUAAUUUCUGAAAUGGGAUGGCAAGCAUUCAGCUCACCCCUGCGUGGUAGCAAGUAAUUCGGGUAUAAAUGCAAUAGAACAGAAGGCCUUCCUCCUAAAUGUCUCCCGCCUUGGAACUAUCUAUCGUUCUGUGAACAGGCCAUUGCUCUUAAUACCAGCUCUGCAUGGAGCUGCUGCAGCUGAACCAGAAUCCACAGCAUCAGAAGGGGGGUGAAGAAGAAAGGCCAUGUGCAGGUGAGCACCAUGCUCCUCCCUCCAGGUGAGCUCCUACCACUGCGGGCUGGGGCACUGUUCCCCGUGUGGUAUGUACAGGGCAGUAUACACCACACUGGGGAUAGAACAGAUGGCCCUGCAAAAGCAGGGAAUGUGACCUGGGCCACCUAGCAGUUCAAGAAUAGGGAGGAAAGGAAACAUAAUGGAAGCUUUGGGAGUGGGCGAGGAGAAUCUCGGACUGAUUCAGGGAAACCGGAUCGCAGUGCAAGCUAAGUGCUCAAAGCUGUCAGGAGGGAUCACAGGAGUCUGGAAGCUGCAGAGCAGGGGACUGAGUGGAGCCAAGUGCUGGGAAAGGACACCAACUUGCUGAGGACUACUGUUGGCUCCAGGCUUGGGGGAGGGUGGCCUGAGAGCAGGAGACUAUGGGAGCUGGCUAAGCAGGAUCUAGGAGCCCAGGGACCAACAGACUAUCACAGCCAGAUCAGUGGGCCACACUGGACCAAGCUGGGGUAGGUCCUGAGUUCGGGUUGACACCUCCCGACCGGAAUCUGGUUUUUUUUUCUGGGGUCUCUUUCUGAGGACUUCAGUGGUUUUCUAUGAGGCAAUACCUGGAGGCCUGAGUGGGAAUGGCCGGGGGGACCCAGGAGAUCUUUUUUAAAAGAAACCUGGAAAUUCUAUGCUCCUUUUGGCUGUGUCAAAAGGAUGGGGCAUGUCCGACUCCAGGAUAGAGAGGUGGGAAAGGGAGAGGGAACGGGCACAGAGAAGAGGAGAUGAAGGAAAAGGGUGUGGGCCCAGGGUGGAGGACACCUGGUAUAACCCAGCAUGAUUGUGGGGUCCUGCUACAGCCCUCAGGGCACAAAUAUCAGCAACUCAGGGUCCACACUAUUGGAGUCUGGUCACCUUUAGGGCAAACAGGGUAGAGGAGGGACAUCCCUCCCCUUGCCAUCUCAGAUCCCUCCCCAGAGGCCGAAGACUCAAGGACAGGCUGGGCAGGAGAGGAGACGGUCAUUGCCUGUCUGGGACUUCAAAUCUGUGACUCAGCAGCCAUGUCUCAGCCUGGACAGAGAUGUCCACAAGGCCUUCCAUACUGGUCCAAGGUGGGGGAGGGAGGUGGGCAGAGAGAGCCUGUGCUUAAUAAUUAAUGGCUUUUUCUAUUUUUACAGGUGCUUGAGGCAGUGGGCAGAGGGAACACAGUGAAUCUAAAGACCUCGCCUGUCCCAAUCACCUCCUUCCACUGGGACAGAGAGCAUCAAAGUCAAACAGGAUCUCUGUGGUCACGCUGCUGGAGAGUGAAGUCAGGACUUGCCCUGGGGCAUGGGAAACAGGCAUGGAAGGAGAGGUGGCUGAUGAGAAAACUAUUCCCAGGCCACUGCAGGCCAACAGGGAGCAACUCGGAAGAAGAGAGUUCAGGAACUGGGAGUAGGGAAGGAGGAAAGGGCCCCUGACCCCCAUGUGGCUGCUCUUUGGCUGGCCACCCUGCUCCACAUUCAGCUCUCUGUGUGCCCUUAGGGGGCAGGAAGGGGGCUAUCGCUCCAGUAGCUGCACCCAGGACUUCCUCUGUCCCCCACCCCACUUGCUUGUCUUUUUACAAGCCUCCAAGCCUUGGUACUAGCAUCCCUUCUCCCUAGAAUGCCUUCCCCUUCCUUCCUUCACUUCCUGGCUCAAAGGAGCUUUGGCAUAAACCUUUUUGAGUCUCUGCUCUCACUCUCUCUGGGCCAAGGGGUUACAGAACUCCUUGCACUGUGAUGGUCAUUAAUUUGAUCCCACUGGUCUCCUCGGCUGGAGUGUAGGGUCCCCUAAGGGCAGAGACUAUAUCCCUAGGUUCAACAUGGCACCUGGCCCAUGGCAAACAGACACCUUGUUUGGGGUGAAAAGCUCCAGUUUCUUCUGAGACUAUUUCAUUGCUGGUUCCUUUCAUUCCUGGGCUCCAGCUCCCACUGAGGGUGCUGACCUAGCCACAAGCCAGAAGGGAGAGAAGCUGGGCCUGCAGUGCCCAUCCCCCACCCAGCCCCAGAGCAUAGCUGCUCAGCCCUGCUGGAAUCUCAAUACCUCUCCCUUCCUCAGAAGCUGCACAACUCCCAUCCCUACUCCCUAGCUCCUUCCUCCCACAUCUGGGCCGGGCAUGGUGCCAAACCUUGGUUAAGGGUGCAGGAACUUAAUGAUACUGCAUUAGUAUCAGCAUCUGCCUUCCAGAGAGGCCAUCUUCCCCAGAACUCCAGUUUCCAACCUUUCCUUCUAAGCCUGCUUCUUCCAGGAAGCCAUCCCAUAAUGCUAUACUACCUAUUUUCUUAGUUACAAGUAGGCCUCCUCCACUCACCAAGAAUACUGAGAGGUUCAGGGCUGUGAUUGUUGCCAGCUCCUAGGAUGGUGUCUGGCACUUAAGUGAGACCCAUAGGUGUUUGUGCCUAGGAUGGGGAAGAAGGGCAUCACAGUCAGUGUAGGCCAUCUCACUGGGAGGCCGAGGCUGGACUCCAGGGUACUGAGCAUGGCAGGGUAUAUAGCCCAGAGCCUGCAUCCCACAUGGUCUGCUGAGAACCUGAUUAGCCCAUAGUCUAAGCAUAAGGACAACAGUUCAUCUGCCUGUGAAUCUUUUUUUUUUUUUUUAGAGAGAGAGAGAAGGAGAGAGAGAGAGAGAGAGAGAAUUUUUAAUAUUUAUUUUUUAGUUUUCAGCGGACACAACAUCUUUGUUUGUAUGUGGUGCUGAGGAUUGAACCCGGGCCGCACGCAUGCCAGGCAAGCGCGCCACCGCCUGAGCCACAUCCCCAGCCCCUGCCUGUGAAUCUUGGCAGCGUAGGAAGUGGGUCAGGCCCAGGACACAAAGCUUCUAGGACUUGGGUGGAUGUUUCCCUUCCAGGCAAAGCAGGAGCGCAAGUGCCCUGGGGAUGGAGACCAGGGUGUGAUGGCACACAUUGCACUGCUUGUGUCCAUAUCCUUUAGGCAUGCCUGUGACCAUGGGAAGGUCAUUUCUCCCUGGACAUACUUCCUGGCCCCCUCCAGAUCUCAUCACCCAAGAAUGAGGCACCUUGGGGGAGGACAGUGUGGAUUUGACUCCACUCCAGCAAGCCUUGGCCCUGACCCUCUCAGGCCUCCUCCUUCCUGUCCCAACAGCCCUGCUCCUCCCUCCUUGCAGUGAUGUCACUUUGGCCACCUCAUCACCAGCUCCUAACCCCCUUCCUGUGGCCCCCUCUUCCUCAGAUGAGAGGCUGGUGGAUGUGGCUCUCCUUAUUCAGGCUCUAACUUGGCACUGGGAAUUACCUAAACGGGUUCCCUCCAAACCCUGAGCCAUUGGGAGGGGCCCCAGGGAAAGGAAGCCUUGGGAGACUCCUUCCUCAUGAAGGCAGAUAGAAGACUCCACUUUCCCCUUCUCCAGCGGCAUGGUCCCUGCACCAUCCCUUCCCUGGGUAAAAGGGAAGCGAGUUGGGGAAACUUUCUGGGAGUCUCAGAGUUUAGAUAUCCUGGAGGGACAGGUGCUGCUAGAUUUGGAACGAGAUGACUUCCCUCUACAUACAGCACCCUCUGAGCAAAACAUACCAUUAGCUCCCUCCCACCUUCCAAAGACCUUCAGCCAGUACCCAGGCCUCUAACAACACCAGGGGCAUCUGGGCAGUUGCUGCCCGCAAGAUGAGGCGGGCGAGCUGGAUGAUGGAUGCUCAGUCGGUUGGAGAAAUAGGAAGACCGCCUCCAUCCCCUUUUGCAGCUCUAUCAGGCGAUCAGUCUGGGUCUCUCGGGCAGCGCCCCUCUUUCCCCGUCCCCAUUCUCCAGACGCAUCACUGCUCAGAGUCGGGCUCACUAGGUCCAGCCCAGCCCUUCUUGGGGUGAUGCCGCCCGACAAUGGAGCAACGGACCCCCGCUUCCCCACUACCCUCCCUGCCGCGCUCACCCUGCUCCAGGUCCUGCUGGUCGUACCAGGGCUCCUCUUCCUCUGCGAAGUCCUCCAUCCUGGUGGCUCUCCGCAUGGCCCCGCAGGCGGCGGUGGGCGGGCGCUGCGGUGGCGCGGCUCAGGGCCGGGGCGCAGGGUCCGGGACAAUGCAGCGGAGGCGGGACGAGCCUCCCGCGUCGUGGACUCGGGCUGCAGCGCCCCCGCCCGCGCCGCGCCCCCUGGCCAUCGGCUGCGAGCCGGGAGCCCACGCGGGGCCUGGAGCACCGCCGCGGUCCCGCCCGGCCGGGGUCCCGCGGAGCCCGGGGGCGCCGGGCUGCGGCGGCACAAAGGGUGGAGGGGUGGAGACGACCGCGGGGAUGGCGGCAGGGAGGGCCCGGGGCCGCCGUCAGGUCUGGGGCGCUAGGAGCGUGCGGGUGUCGCAGCGGGCACCCCGUGUUCGGCUCUGGCCGGAGCUGUCCCCGGCCCGCCCGGCGACACCCGGAGCCGCGGCUGCAUCUUGGCCCUGCAGCUUCCCGAGCUGCCAGCUCCGUGGGGCGGUGCCUGCCGCCGUUGGCCAAUCAGGAGGCGUAUGCAAAGCUAGAGGCGGGGCCAAGGGUGGGACCUUCCUUGUGUCCUGGCCUGGGAGUUACUGGAUCAACCCCCUUCCUCCUUCCCUCCACGUCCGACUUCUUCAGUUCACUGCUCUCUGGAAUUAUUUUGUUUACCUGUUGUUGUCUCUUCUUCUAGAUCUCCUGGAAACAAGGAUCUUGUUUACUGCGGGUCCUCAGCGCGUAGAACCGGCGGGCCCAUUAAUAUCUUCCAUGGACAUUCUUUGAAUAGUGUUAAUUUACAAUUACCUUUAAAAACGUGAGUGCUUAAAAGACCAAAGCCAAAAACUGAAGGCUGGGAGUGACAAAUUUUGAGGAUGUGUUACUUGCAUUCUGUGCUUUUCUCUUUUAGUUUCUAUCUCCCUUCCUGCGGACCCAUACCUGUAUCCGAUUACGAUCACUAAAGUCUCAUUGUUUCACCUAUCCAAGCAUUCUUUACUUUAAAGGAAUUUUCAGACUCAAACAUCCAUGUAAUCCAUUUUUAUUGGGGCCCAGCAUGGGCUGACAUUGUUGAGGCACUGAGUUUCUCCAACUCAGAAUUUAUGUUGCAAAAUAUCCAGCAAAGGAUUUGUGUCCAAAAUAGAUGAACAUUUCAAAUCCUUCGGAGAAAACCGUGAAAGACAUCUGCUCAUUGGCGGAAACCUCCAAAACUGG
RNAcentral lists this long non-coding RNA (5480 nucleotides) under Marmota monax (woodchuck). Lineage: Eukaryota; Metazoa; Chordata; Mammalia; Rodentia; Sciuridae. The record is from RNAcentral.